This 390-nucleotide ribosomal RNA is filed under the name Triticum aestivum (bread wheat). RNAcentral's name for it is "partial small subunit ribosomal RNA". The record is from RNAcentral. Lineage: Eukaryota; Viridiplantae; Streptophyta; Magnoliopsida; Poales; Poaceae.
AUGGAAAUAUUUUUGCUGAAGAGACAACGAUAUUUAGCUGCAGGCUGCGUCAUCUUUUUGUUUUAUAGUUGUUUAAACUUUGUGGCGCUGCUGCUCUUGUUGGCCUUCUUUAGGUUGAUAUACUCUCCCCUUCUUAAUAUAUUUACAUGCAAUUCUCAUGCAUGUUCCCGGGAAAAAAGAAAUGACUGUUUGAUAAAUUGGAGCAUUGCACUUUUAAGUAAGUUUUCAACCAUUAUUUUUUUGCAUAAAAUUACUUAUCUAUAUGCAAACGAUUUCUCUGUUUUUAGUAGCCUUGCAGGACAUCAGAGAGCAGAUAACACAUUGGCCACAUCUCCAGUAAACGUGGCAAUCAUACUAAAUCAUAAAAGGAAGUAUGAAUGCAAUGCUUGA